Molecule: ribosomal RNA, 460 nt
Filed under: uncultured bacterium
Lineage: Bacteria
Description: partial 16S ribosomal RNA
Rfam family: Bacterial small subunit ribosomal RNA
Source: RNAcentral
CCUACGGGAGGCAGCAGUGAGGAAUAUUGGUCAAUGGGCGCGAGCCUGAACCAGCCAAGUCGCGUGAAGGAUGACUGCCCUACGGGUUGUAAACCUCUUUUAUAAGGGAAUAAAGUGAGGCACGUGUGCCUUUUUGUAUGUACUUUAUGAAUAAGGAUCGGCUAACUCCGUGCCAGCAGCCGCGGUAAUACGGAGGAUCCGAGCGUUAUCCGGAUUUAUUGGGUUUAAAGGGAGCGUAGAUGGGUUGAUAAGUCAGUUGUGAAAUUUUGCGGCUCAACCGUGAAGUUGCAAUUGAUACUGGCAGUCUAGAGUACAGUUGAGGCAGGCGGAAUGCGGGGUGUAGCGGUGAAAUGCUUAGAUAUCACGAAGAACUCCGAUGGCGAAGGCAGCUUACUAAACUGCUACUGACAUUGAUGCGCGAAAGUGUGGGGAUCAAACAGGAUUAGAUACCCGAGUAGUC